Molecule: ribosomal RNA, 600 nt
Filed under: uncultured bacterium
Lineage: Bacteria
Description: bacterial SSU rRNA
Rfam family: Bacterial small subunit ribosomal RNA
Source: RNAcentral
CCUACGGGAGGCAGCAGUGGGGAAUAUUGCACAAUGGGCGCAAGCCUGAUGCAGCAACGCCGCGUGAGGGACGACGGCCUUCGGGUUGUAAACCUCUUUUAGUAGGGAAGAAGCGAAAGUGACGGUACCUGCAGAAAAAGCACCGGCUAACUACGUGCCAGCAGCCGCGGUAAUACGUAGGGUGCAAGCGUUAUCCGGAAUUAUUGGGCGUAAAGAGCUCGUAGGCGGUUUGUCGCGUCUGCUGUGAAAACUGGAGGCUCAACCUCCAGCCUGCAGUGGGUACGGGCAAACUAGAGUGCGGUAGGGGAGAUUGGAAUUCCUGGUGUAGCGGUGGAAUGCGCAGAUAUCAGGGGGAACACCGAUGGCGAAGGCAGAUCUCUGGGCCGUAACUGACGCUGAGGAGCGAAAGCAUGGGGAGCGAACAGGAUUAGAUACCCUGGUAGUCCAUGCCGUAAACGUUGGGCGCUAGAUGUGGGGACCAUUCCACGGUUUCCGUGUCGCAGCUAACGCAUUAAGCGCCCCGCCUGGGGAGUACGGCCGCAAGGCUAAAACCUAGAAAGUAGUACGCGCGAGAGCGNGACCGAAGCCACGAGGAGGUAG